ACACGUGGUAUCCUGUCUGAAUAUGGGGGGACCAUCCUCCAAGGCUAAAUACUCCUGACUGACCGAUAGUGAACCAGUACCGUGAGGGAAAGGCGAAAAGAACCCCGGCGAGGGGAGUGAAAAAGAACCUGAAACCGUGUACGUACAAGCAGUGGGAGCACGCUUAGGCGUGUGACUGCGUACCUUUUGUAUAAUGGGUCAGCGACUUAUAUUCUGUAGCAAGGUUAACCGAAUAGGGGAGCCGAAGGGAAACCGAGUCUUAACUGGGCGUUAAGUUGCAGGGUAUAGACCCGAAACCCGGUGAUCUAGCCAUGGGCAGGUUGAAGGUUGGGUAACACUAACUGGAGGACCGAACCGACUAAUGUUGAAAAAUUAGCGGAUGACUUGUGGCUGGGGGUGAAAGGCCAAUCAAACCGGGAGAUAGCUGGUUCUCCCCGAAAGCUAUUUAGGUAGCGCCUCGUGAAUUCAUCUCCGGGGGUAGAGCACUGUUUCGGCAAGGGGGUCAUCCCGACUUACCAACCCGAUGCAAACUGCGAAUACCGGAGAAUGUUAUCACGGGAGACACACGGCGGGUGCUAACGUCCGUCGUGAAGAGGGAAACAACCCAGACCGCCAGCUAAGGUCCCAAAGUCAUGGUUAAGUGGGAAACGAUGUGGGAAGGCCCAGACAGCCAGGAUGUUGGCUUAGAAGCAGCCAUCAUUUAAAGAAAGCGUAAUAGCUCACUGGUCGAGUCGGCCUGCGCGGAAGAUGUAACGGGGCUAAACCAUGCACCGAAGCUGCGGCAGCGACGCUGAUGCGUUGUUGGGUAGGGGAGCGUUCUGUAAGCCUGCGAAGGUGUGCUGUGAGGCAUGCUGGAGGUAUCAGAAGUGCGAAUGCUGACAUAAGUAACGAUAAAGCGGGUGAAAAGCCCGCUCGCCGGAAGACCAAGGGUUCCUGUCCAACGUUAAUCGGGGCAGGGUGAGUCGACCCCUAAGGCGAGGCCGAAAGGCGUAGUCGAUGGGAAACAGGUUAAUAUUCCUGUACUUGGUGUUACUGCGAAGGGGGGACGGAGAAGGCUAUGUUGGCCGGGCGACGGUUGUCCCGGUUUAAGCGUGUAGGCUGGUUUUCCAGGCAAAUCCGGAAAAUCAAGGCUGAGGCGUGAUGACGAGGCACUACGGUGCUGAAGCAACAAAUGCCCUGCUUCCAGGAAAAGCCUCUAAGCAUCAGGUAACAUCAAAUCGUACCCCAAACCGACACAGGUGGUCAGGUAGAGAAUACCAAGGCGCUUGAGAGAACUCGGGUGAAGGAACUAGGCAAAAUGGUGCCGUAACUUCGGGAGAA
RNAcentral lists this ribosomal RNA (1320 nucleotides) under Escherichia coli. RNAcentral's name for it is "partial 23S ribosomal RNA". It matches the Rfam family "Bacterial large subunit ribosomal RNA", at positions 422 to 1744 of the family's 2925-position model. Lineage: Bacteria; Pseudomonadati; Pseudomonadota; Gammaproteobacteria; Enterobacterales; Enterobacteriaceae. The record is from RNAcentral.